Punica granatum (pomegranate) is the source of this 1899-nucleotide non-coding RNA. The record is from RefSeq and is a predicted model, not a curated record. Lineage: Eukaryota; Viridiplantae; Streptophyta; Magnoliopsida; Myrtales; Lythraceae.
GAUGAUUUUAUUGUAUCAUGCAAUUAUGGUUUAUGAUUUACCUGCCGAUUAAGGUUGAUUGGAUUUUAUUCUUGCAAUUAGGGGUUUGAUUAUUGCAAUAUUAUUUGAUUUUAUGUGGUCAAUCUGCAUUCAACCUUAAUCAAGCAAGAUUAGGGUUACUUAAAGAAAAUUAGGGUCAAAUUAGGGUUUUCCAAGGUGUAGGUAGGCCGCAGCUAGCCCCAGGAAGGAGGCGUCCAACCUCUACCUCAGUCGAUAGUCCGAUUCGAUUGGAGGCGAAUUGAACCCUGACCAGAACUCAUCGUGGUCUGCAACCUCGCUUCGCGGCUCAUGAGGCGUAAUCGCGGCCAAGCAAGGAUCGGCAAUCGCGAAUAAGGGGCCUCGGGUCGUCGAUUGCGCCUGCCACCGUAUCGGGAUCAAGCCAGGAUGGAGUCGGGGUCACGGCUGGGUCUCUCUGAUCCCAGUUGGCGGUCGCCGUGCUCUCUGACCCAGUUCGUGGCCGUGAACCUUGAUCCUCUACAUCCGAUCUUCCCCGACCUAUGUCUCUCUCUCUCUCUCUCGCCCACUCGAGCCUCGAUGAUCACGGCCACACGUUGACGCUACACGUCGCCGGUACAUCCGAUCAACAGUGGGAGGGGCGGCGCUAGGGUUUGUGGGAUUUGGGGAGGAGUCGGGUGAGGAAGAUGAAACUCGGACCCAACCCAGAUCGUUUUUGUUUCGCCUGACCUAAUUCAACCUGAUCCAAUGAGGCCCGAUCCGCUUCAGGAAGAACUGGGCUAAACGGGGCCUGAAGCCCAUUAAGGCAAACCCAGCCCAGUUGACUCAUUUGACCGGUUUAGAGACCAGUUUGACUGGUUUAUCCUGGUUGAUCGGUUCAGCUCAAUCUAUUCUUGAAAAUAUUGCUUAUGUUCCCAUGCUUGAUGGACAAAAUUUUUCUGACCGGGAAGAAUCGGUUCUUUUCACUCUGGGGUACAUAGACCUGGACUAUGCGCUUCGUGAGAAGGAGUCACCCUCCCACGGAUACAAUGCGCCUGGGGUCAAGGAGAAGUAUGAGUGUGGGAGAAAUCUAACCGUUUAAGCCUCAUGCUCAUGAAGUCUCGUGUGAGUAAAAGUAUACGGGGAGUUGUUGGUGAGGUGACUAAGGCUAAGAAUUUUCUGAAGGCAAUUAAGGAACAAUUUGCCAAAUCAGAUAAGGCCUUGGUAAGUACCCUGAUGAAGAGGCUGAUUAGCAAGACCUUUGACAGUUCAAAGGGUGUCCCUACGCACAUUACGAAAAUGAGAGACUUGGCACCUCAACUCAAGACUUUAAAGAUGAUAUCUCCAAGUCGUUUUUGGUUCACUUCAUUCUCAACUCCUUGCUAGAUGAGUAUGAAUCAUUUAAAAUCUCCUACAACACACAUAAGGAGGAGUAGUCUAUUACAGAACUCUUGACCAUGUGUGCUUAAGAGGAGGAGAUGAUAAAGUAGGACAAGCCUGAAGUUGCCCAUCUGGCUACCCGCCCAAAGGGUAAAGGCAAGAAGGAUCAUGGGAAGAGCCAGUUUAAGGAGCCACCCAAGAUGGCAGUAAGGUGAAGUGCUUCUUAUGUAGGAAGGAUGGACAUGUAAAAAAAGAUAAACCCAAAUAUAAGAAGUGGCUUGAAAAGAGAGGGCUUUUUCAACCUAAGGAAUCCGAUGGAAAGUGAGAUGUUCGUCUACCUAGGGAAUAAGAGGCGCUCUCAAAUCAUUGGAGUUGGGACAUUUAGGAUAAUUCUGUUUUCGAGAUGUGCUUUAGAUUUUGAUAAUGUUUUUUACAUUCCAGACUUUUCUAGAAAUUUGAUUUCUAUUUUCAAACUGGUUGUGUUUGACUACAAGUUUCUAUUUGAGAAUAAAUUGACUAUUUUUAGAAAUAAUUCUGUCAUUGAUA